ACGGGUGAGUAAUGCAUCGGAACGUGCCCAGUAGCGGGGGAUAACGCAGCGAAAGCUGUGCUAAUACCGCAUAUUCUCUACGGAGGAAAGAGGGGGAUCGCAAGACCUCUCACUAUUGGAGCGGCCGAUGUCUGAUUAGCUAGUUGGCGGGGUAAAAGCCCACCAAGGCGACGAUCAGUAGCUGGUUUGAGAGAACGACCAGCCACACUGGGACUGAGACACGGCCCAGACUCCUACGGGAGGCAGCAGUGGGGAAUUUUGGACAAUGGGCGCAAGCCUGAUCCAGCCAUGCCGCGUGCGGGAAGAAGGCCUUCGGGUUGUAAACCGCUUUUGUCAGGGAAGAAAUCGAAUCCACUAAUACUGGGUUUGGAUGACGGUACCUGGAGAAUAAGCACCGGCUAACUACGUGCCAGCAGCCGCGGUAAUACGUAGGGUGCGAGCGUUAAUCGGAAUUACUGGGCGUAAAGCGUGCGCAGGCGGUUUCGCAAGUCAGAUGUGAAAGCCCCGGGCUCAACCUGGGUAUUGCAUUUGAAACUACGAGGCUAGAGUGUGUCAGAGGGGGGUAGAAUUCCACGUGUAGCAGUGAAA
This 588-nucleotide ribosomal RNA is filed under the name uncultured bacterium. RNAcentral's name for it is "bacterial SSU rRNA". It matches the Rfam family "Bacterial small subunit ribosomal RNA", at positions 102 to 686 of the family's 1533-position model. The record is from RNAcentral.